This 139-nucleotide ribosomal RNA is filed under the name uncultured eukaryote. Its description in RNAcentral is "partial 18S ribosomal RNA". It matches the Rfam family "Eukaryotic small subunit ribosomal RNA", at positions 1299 to 1458 of the family's 1831-position model. The record is from RNAcentral.
UGGUGGAGUGAUUUGUCUGGUUAAUUCCGUUAACGAACGAGACCUUAGCCUACUAACUAGUCGGGCAGAUCUCCGAUAUGUCACGACUUCUUAGAGGGACUUUGUGGAUUCAAACACAAGGAAGUUUGAGGCAAUAACA